GCCUGGCUGGCUCAGUCAGUACAGUGCGUGAUUCUUGAUCUUGGAGUUGUGAGUUCAAGCCCCACGUUGGGUG
RNAcentral lists this transfer RNA (73 nucleotides) under Mustela putorius furo (domestic ferret). It matches the Rfam family "tRNA". From Rfam's summary of the family: Transfer RNA (tRNA) molecules are approximately 80 nucleotides in length. The record is from Rfam by way of RNAcentral. Lineage: Eukaryota; Metazoa; Chordata; Mammalia; Carnivora; Mustelidae.